Molecule: ribosomal RNA, 460 nt
Filed under: uncultured bacterium
Lineage: Bacteria
Description: partial 16S ribosomal RNA
Rfam family: Bacterial small subunit ribosomal RNA
Source: RNAcentral
CCUACGGGAGGCAGCAGUGAGGAAUAUUGGUCAAUGGACGCAAGUCUGAACCAGCCAUGCCGCGUGCAGGAUGACGGCUCUAUGAGUUGUAAACUGCUUUUGUACGAGGGUAAACCCCGAUACGUGUAUCGGGUUGAAAGUAUCGUACGAAUAAGGAUCGGCUAACUCCGUGCCAGCAGCCGCGGUAAUACGGAGGAUCCGAGCGUUAUCCGGAUUUAUUGGGUUUAAAGGGUGCGUAGGCGGUUUGAUAAGUUAGAGGUGAAAUGUCGGGGCUCAACCCCGAAACUGCCUCUAAUACUGUUGGACUAGAGAAUAGUUGCGGUAGGCGGAAUGUAUGGUGUAGCGGUGAAAGGCUUAGAGAUCAUACAGAACACCGAUUGCGAAGGCAGCUUACCAAACUAUAUCUGACGUUGAGGCACGAAAGCGUGGGUAGCAAACAGGAUUAGAUACCCUAGUAGUC